This 459-nucleotide ribosomal RNA is filed under the name uncultured Streptococcus sp. RNAcentral's name for it is "bacterial SSU rRNA". It matches the Rfam family "Bacterial small subunit ribosomal RNA", at positions 923 to 1382 of the family's 1533-position model. The record is from RNAcentral. Lineage: Bacteria; Bacillati; Bacillota; Bacilli; Lactobacillales; Streptococcaceae.
GCACAAGCGGUGGAGCAUGUGGCUUAAUUCGAAGCAACGCGAAGAACCUUACCAGGUCUUGACAUCCCGAUGCUAUUUCUAGAGAUAGAAAGUUACUUCGGUACAUCGGUGACAGGUGGUGCAUGGUUGUCGUCAGCUCGUGUCGUGAGAUGUUGGGUUAAGUCCCGCAACGAGCGCAACCCCUAUUGUUAGUUGCCAUCAUUCAGUUGGGCACUCUAGCGAGACUGCCGGUAAUAAACCGGAGGAAGGUGGGGAUGACGUCAAAUCAUCAUGCCCCUUAUGACCUGGGCUACACACGUGCUACAAUGGUUGGUACAACGAGUUGCGAGUCGGUGACGGCGAGCUAAUCCCUUAAAGCCAAUCUCAGUUCGGAUUGUAGGCUGCAACUCGCCUACAUGAAGUCGGAAUCGCUAGUAAUCGCGGAUCAGCACGCCGCGGUCGAAUACGUUCCCGGGCCUU